This is an unclassified non-coding RNA of Chelonoidis abingdonii (Abingdon island giant tortoise), 173 nucleotides long. Lineage: Eukaryota; Metazoa; Chordata; Testudines; Testudinidae. The record is from Ensembl.
CUGACAGCCCCAGAGAUUGAACUACUCUCUGAACAGGUACAGCAUGAGCAAUGGCAGUGCCCACUUCAUUCACACUGCCUUGCCCAUGUGCCUUCAGCCUCACCUGGAGAUGGGGCCAGCUUUAGAAGAAAGAAGGUAGUUCAUUCCACCUUCUCAUCUGAUCCUUGGCCUCC